AGCAGCCGCGGUAAUUCCAGCUCCAAUAGCGUAUAUUAAAGUUGUUGCAGUUAAAAAGCUCGUAGUUGAAUUUCGGGAUCAAUAUGUCGGUCGUGCCUUCGGUACGUACUGGUAUCAUUGGUCUCUCCUUUCUGACGAACCAUGAUGUCAUUAAUUUGGUGUUAUGGGGAGUUAGGACUGUUACUUUGAAAAAUUAGAGUGUUUAAAGCAGGCUUUAGCUUGAAUACAUUAGCAUGGAAUAAUGAAAUAGGACGUUCGAACCUAUUUUGUUGGUUUCUAGGAUCAACGUAAUGAUUAAUAGGGAUAGUUGGGGGCAUUAGUAUUCAAUUGUCAGAGGUGAAAUUCUUGGAUUUAUUGAAGACUAACUACUGCGAAAGCAUUUGCCAAGGAUGUUUUCAUUAAUCAAGAACGAAAGUUAGGGGAUCGAAGACGAUCAGAUACCGUCGUAGUCUUAACCAUAAACUAUGCCGACUAGGGAUCGAAUG
This 485-nucleotide ribosomal RNA is filed under the name uncultured Glomus. RNAcentral's name for it is "SSU rRNA". It matches the Rfam family "Eukaryotic small subunit ribosomal RNA", at positions 569 to 1059 of the family's 1831-position model. Lineage: Eukaryota; Fungi; Glomeromycota; Glomeromycetes; Glomerales; Glomeraceae. The record is from RNAcentral.